Non-coding RNA from Podarcis lilfordi (Lilford's wall lizard), 70 nucleotides. The record is from the annotation of a GenBank genome assembly. Lineage: Eukaryota; Metazoa; Chordata; Lepidosauria; Squamata; Lacertidae.
GUUGUAGCUCGUUGACAAGAGCUUUUGAUUUGCACGCAAAAGGUUCUGGGUUCAGUCCCCGGCAUCGGCA